GAUCAAGCUACAAAGAGCAUUGAGGUGGAUGCCUUGGUACAUGGCGCCGAAGAAGGACGUGACAAGCUGCGAUAAGCUGCGGUAAGGAGCAAAUAUCCUGUGACCCGCAGAUUUCCGAAUGAGGGAACUCAAUACGGGUAAUUCCGUAUUAUCCAUACCUGAACACAUAGGGUAUGAGAGGGGAACCCGGGGAACUGAAACAUCUUAGUACCCGGAGGAAAAGAAAGUAAAAACGAUUCCGUAAGUAGUGGCGAGCGAACGCGGAGGAGCCCGAAGGGGCUGUAGAAAUACGGCCCUGGUAUCAUAAUCCGAAGAAAUCUUAGCCGAAGACAGUUGGAAAGCUGCACGACACAAAGUGACAGUCUUGUAGGCGAAAGGGUUUUAAGGAGGAUACAACGAGUACGUCGGAACACGAGGAAUUCUGACGGAACAUGUGGGGACCAUCCCAUAAGGCUAAAUACGACCAUGUGACC
This 473-nucleotide ribosomal RNA is filed under the name Clostridia bacterium. RNAcentral's name for it is "partial 23S ribosomal RNA". It matches the Rfam family "Bacterial large subunit ribosomal RNA", at positions 1 to 485 of the family's 2925-position model. Lineage: Bacteria; Bacillati; Bacillota; Clostridia. The record is from RNAcentral.